AUGAGCCAGGAUGAGGUACAUCUGGCUCUAAAAAUUAAUGAAUGUCACCUGGCUGUGAUUAGCAGGCAGGUAUUUAACAGGGCAGAAAUGUUUGUUCUGAGCAGUCUGCAGUCGGUGUGAAGGCAAGAGGCUGUCAGUAACAGAAGGAGUCUCCGGACAAGCUCAAGGCAAGUUAAAAAGCCGAUUGAGAGGGGAUCCCCCGAGUGGUUCAACUGGUAGAAGUGCAGCGACAGGCUCUCCCCAGACACUGGAGUGUUAUGGAAACAGCGAGGAUUGCUUGAGGGAACAGGGGCAGACUGCUGAGAUAGGAUGUUGAACCAGACAAGAUGAUUUUCACAUCUACAAAGCACUGUGGAAAAUGGAAGGCAGUCCCGGAUACACCAGACAAGCGCAACAAUUCAGUAUGGGAGUAACAGACUACAGAACUGCUCAGAGUGACGACAAACACCAUACAAUUAAAAUGACAUUUGAAGCUAUUUACCCUUUAAUUAUUACCACACACUGAUAAUACGUUCUGUUUUUUACCGUAUUGUGCGUUUACAUUGAAAUAAGUAACAACUUAAGCCCCUUUCUUUUGCUGUUGGUCAUUUUGUUUUCCAGACUUCUUUCCACUUUUCUUCCCACAAUGCUACAGUUCACUUCCUGUGUUACAGGUAAUAGGACCCUACCUUCUGCCCAUAGGAAACUAUGAGGGUUCCCAUUAUGUGUCAGACAGGAUGUGAAUUUAUAGCACUCUAUAACUAGAGACCCACUCAUCUCCAAUUGUGAGAAAACUCUGACAACAUUCUUACCUCAAAU
This is a long non-coding RNA of Acipenser ruthenus (sterlet), 798 nucleotides long. RefSeq lists it as uncharacterized. Lineage: Eukaryota; Metazoa; Chordata; Actinopteri; Acipenseriformes; Acipenseridae. The record is from RefSeq and is a predicted model, not a curated record. The transcript has 4 exons.